RNAcentral lists this transfer RNA (70 nucleotides) under Pealius mori. Its description in RNAcentral is "tRNA-Lys". Lineage: Eukaryota; Metazoa; Arthropoda; Insecta; Hemiptera; Aleyrodidae. The record is from RNAcentral.
CAUUAAAAAGCUUAAAGUAAGCAGGGAUCUUUUAAAUCUCAGAUAUUAUCGUAACAAAUAGUUUUAGUGG